RNAcentral lists this long non-coding RNA (1742 nucleotides) under Homo sapiens (human). Its description in RNAcentral is "HSALNT0316858". Lineage: Eukaryota; Metazoa; Chordata; Mammalia; Primates; Hominidae. The record is from RNAcentral.
CCCUCCCCGUUUUCUGGCACAUAGCUCAUAAACCCCUUGUGACAAGUGAUAAGUGUCAUUCUGCAUGCGAGUGAGAUGACCAAGGGCUGGAGGCUCCUGGACAGCCUUGGGGUGAGGACUGGUUACCAGGGGAACUCACCAUGUGGUUAGAGAGUUGGAACUUUCAGUCCCACUACACCCUCCCCCGCCCACCGCCUCAGCAACCAACCUCCAGGGAGGGGAAAGGGGGCAGAAGUUUGAGUUAAUAACUAAUAGCUAAAGAUGUAAACAAUAAGCCUCCAUAAAACCCCAAAAGGACUGGACUGGUUUCUGAGAGCUUCCAGGUUGUUGAGCACGUGGAGGUUCUGGGAGGGUCCACACCCAGAGAAGGCAUGGAAGCUGACCCCUUCCCCAUACCUUGCUCUUUGCAUCUCUUCCAUUUGGCUGUUCCCGAGUUGUAUACUUUGUAAUAAGUGGGAUUUCCACCCAACAACAAUUCAGCCACACUGCUUCACACAUCUAGAAUCCAUCCAAAAUUGUAAAGGCUUUGUGGCACUACAGUGAAACAGGCAAGAACAUCUUCCAAACAUCCAGCACAAGAGCACACAGGAGGCCGGCAUAAUCACGAAUUGCAGCUGUCUGAAGGGCAGUCACAUAAAAGAGGAGAAGCUUCACCUUUGCUUCACAAGGCACAUCUUGAACCAGGGAUGGAAAUUACAGAGAGGCCAAAACCAGCUCGGUGUGAGCAGGACUGGUAACAGACUGGCCAAGCAACAGAAGGGGCUGCCCUGUGAAGAAGCAAGCUCUCUGUCAAUGGGAGGUGCAAGCUGAGCCUGCACUACCUUUUGUCACGGUUGCUAUGGAAAAGAUUAAGAGCCCGGAUAGCCCUUCCUCCUCUGGGGGCCUGGGCAUCAGCAAGUCGGAUGGCAGUGGAAGGUGGAGAAAUGGAAUCCUGCUGGGGGCUCAGGAGGCCUGCCCCCUGAUGCUGCCGUGCACUGCAGAUGUCCUUGAUGAAGAGAAUGAAUGGAAGCUGUCUUUCUCAAUGGCAAAAGGGCAUACUGCUGUUAUUGUCAGUGAGGGGUCAGUAGUUUAAAUGAUGAAACUCUGGGGAUCAGCGUAAAGUAAACCAACAUACUGCAUGUAAGUAUCAAGUAAAUGAGCAGAGACAGCCCCUGGUUUACAAACACCUGACUUAAGCAUCGUCCAUCCUACAGGACAGGGAAGGAGGAAGAAGCUUCGAGAGGCUGGAACAGUUGAGGGAGCGCUGACACGGUAAAGGCCACUUUGCUCAUCAUCACCAGGCGUGCUGCCGAAAAUUUCCACUCUGUUUACUCCCAAGACCUUACUCCUACUAUGUGGAGACACAUUUGAAUAAAAAAUUGGCCUCUUUUCAAAGUCAAAAUUCUGAGCCAGCUUGAAGGGAUUGUUUUUGGUCAAACCUGCAUCAAUUUGGGCAUCAAAAUAAAUAAUGCUACCAAUUUAUUGCACCCUAUUGAAUAGAAUAGCAAGUCAUGAGUCUAUGUUCAUAUAAAUAAGUAAAACUGAGGAGAAGGGAAAGCUCUCUUUUAUAGUAGAAAUCCAUCUAAUAGGUGUAGAAGAAAAUGAUAAAGUUAGAAAAUCACCAUUUGGCCACCAUUGUAGUAAUCAUGGAUUCAGCUAAAAAUCAUCAAUGGAUGCUGGAACAAAUGAGUGAAAGUUUAAUGAGGGUCAGAAUAUUUAUAUGGCCUCACAGUGUAUCCUUAUACAAUUCUUAAUAAUUACUG